This is a long non-coding RNA of Odocoileus virginianus texanus, 966 nucleotides long. RefSeq lists it as uncharacterized. The record is from RefSeq and is a predicted model, not a curated record. Lineage: Eukaryota; Metazoa; Chordata; Mammalia; Artiodactyla; Cervidae.
UGCAGGGCCCAUGUGCUGGUCACAGGGAAACACAGGGAGGAUCUGAGAGUCUGUGUCACUGGGACCCUAAGCACCUCUGACUCGAGGGGAUUGCUGAGGCAGUGAGUUUCAAAGAUUCCAUGAUGCCGGCAACCAGUUAUAUUUCCCCGGAGGAAUCAGGACCACUGACUCUCCCAGGAUGUGUCAAUCUCUCGCCUGAGAGAACAUCAUCUAUCUCCAGCACAGACAGAUUCCAGACAUCAACUCCAGAAAUGUACUCAGACCCACCAGCCUCAGUAGUGUAUUUAACACAAGGGGCAACCAACACUGGCGAGCUACAUUCAGACAAUGAGCCAUGAAUCUCGUCUUUCUUUCCACCAAGAGUGAGAUUCAAACUUGCUGUUUCACCAGACAGAGAAGAAAAAGGUAUGUCUUUUUCCCCAUCCUUGCUCAUUUCAGACCAUCCAAUGAAGCUUCGAUCAGCAUGCCCAGGUUUUCAAAUCAAAAUCGAUUUGUAUUUGUUUAGGAGGAGUGAAGCGUAUUCACUGAUUCAGGUAUGUUCCUUCUGGGCUGUUUCAUCACCACCUUUGGAAAAACAUGUGAGAUGGGGUCCACGGAUGGACUGUGACCUGUCCUGCAGGGAGGUGAAAUGCCAUGAUUAGAACCAUGUCCUUACAGAGUAGAUCCGCGGCUAAAGCACUUAUCUGACAGGUCUUUGUUCAUUGGUGAUUCACAGUGAUUUUGCCCUCCAGGAUUUCCAGGGGUCGGGUCUUUAGUGUCUUGAGGACACAUUUCCUGUGUCUGGAGAAUGAUGCAUCCUGGUGGGAAAGUGUGAGGCGGGGCAGACCGCUUCCUCCUCUUGGCGGGUUCCUCGUGGUCCAGGCUGAAGUCCCGUGGAGCUGGUGAAACUCUUCAGGACCUGCUGGUGCCUGUGGUGAACAGAAUGCAGCAGGCACUGCCGGUGGCUCUUGCCAGGGAAAUGCAAGA